CCAAAAGUCUCUUCUAAUCCAACUACAUUAGGAGGAUAUGUGAACCAAAUACCAGAUACAUCAUUGAUGAGAAGUUUGAAGCAUUCAAAGGAUGUCAUUGAGAAUUUUCUUGGCUACUCCAGAUCACCAAACUGAAUUCAGCUGGUUGACAAUCUCCUGAUAGCAUACAAGACCAUAAAGUGCAACCUGUUACUGAUGGUUCCUUUCUGCAUUGACACUUGGACUUCUUUCCCAAAAACCUAGGGGCAAUCAGUGAUGAACAUGUUGAAAGCUUUCACCAGAACAUUGCCACAAUGGAAAAACAAUAUAGCAACUGGGAUCUAUCAGUGCUGGCUGACUAUUAUUGACGCUACAGUGAGAUACAUAAGAUACUGACUACAAGCAGAAAUCAGCAGCAAAAUACUUUUGUCCCUGUUGAACUCAUGCAGCCUGUCAGAAAUAUCAUGUGAUUAAAUACAUAGUUAUUAAAAUUUAA
This is a non-coding RNA of Pantherophis guttatus, 475 nucleotides long. NCBI's taxonomy places the organism in Eukaryota, Metazoa, Chordata, Lepidosauria, Squamata, Colubridae. The record is from RefSeq and is a predicted model, not a curated record.